This 465-nucleotide ribosomal RNA is filed under the name uncultured bacterium. RNAcentral describes it as "partial 16S ribosomal RNA". It matches the Rfam family "Bacterial small subunit ribosomal RNA", at positions 28 to 507 of the family's 1533-position model. The record is from RNAcentral.
GACGAACGCUGGCGGCGUGCUUAACACAUGCAAGUCGAACGGAAAGGCCCUGCUUGCAGGGUACUCGAGUGGCCAACGGGUGAGUAACACGUGGGUGGUCUGCCCUGCACUUCGGGAUAAGCCUGGUAAACUGGGUCUAAUUCCUGAUAGGAGCCAUUUUUAGUGUGAUGGUUGGAAAGUUUUUUCGGUGUAGGAUGAGCUCGCGGCCUAUCAGCUUGUUGGUGGGGUGAUGGCCUACCGAAGCGGCGACGGGUAGCCGGACUGAGAGGCUGACCGGCCACCUUGAGACUGAGAUGAGGCCGCGACUGCGACGGGAGGGAGAAGUGGGGAAUCUUGAACAAUGGGCGCCAGCCUGAUGCAGAGGGGCUGCGGGGGGGAUGACUGUGUUAGGGUUGAAGACUAAUUUCGCUAGGGACGAUGCUUUUUGUGACGGUACCUAGAUAGGAAGCACCGGCUAACUACGUG